RNAcentral lists this ribosomal RNA (301 nucleotides) under uncultured bacterium. RNAcentral's name for it is "partial 16S ribosomal RNA". It matches the Rfam family "Bacterial small subunit ribosomal RNA", at positions 509 to 808 of the family's 1533-position model. The record is from RNAcentral.
CAGUAGCCGCGGUAAUACGUAUGUCACAAGCGUUAUCCGGAUUUAUUGGGCGUAAAGCGCGUCUAGGUGGUUAUGUAAGUCUGAUGUGAAAAUGCAGGGCUCAACUCUGUAUUGCGUUGGAAACUGUGUAACUAGAGUACUGGAGAGGUAAGCGGAACUACAAGUGUAGAGGUGAAAUUCGUAGAUAUUUGUAGGAAUGCCGAUGGGGAAGCCAGCUUACUGGACAGAUACUGACGCUGAAGCGCGAAAGCGUGGGUAGCAAACAGGAUUAGAUACCCCCGUAGUCCCUGUCUCUUAUACC